RNAcentral lists this ribosomal RNA (253 nucleotides) under uncultured bacterium. Its description in RNAcentral is "partial 16S ribosomal RNA". It matches the Rfam family "Bacterial small subunit ribosomal RNA", at positions 524 to 776 of the family's 1533-position model. The record is from RNAcentral.
UACGAAGGUGGCAAGCGUUACUCGGAAUUACUGGGCGUAAAGGGCUCGUAGGUGGCCAACUAAGUCAGACGUGAAAUCCCUCGGCUUAACCGGGGAACUGCGUCUGAUACUGGAUGGCUUGAGUUUGGGAGAGGGACGCGGAAUUCCAGGUGUAGCGGUGAAAUGCGUAGAUAUCUGGAGGAACACCGGUGGCGAAGGCGGCGUCCUGGACCAACACUGACACUGAGGAGCGAAAGCCAGGGGAGCAAACGGG